GUGCAAGGGAGGGAGGGUAUGGUGAGAAGAGACCCAGGUAUAGUGAGAAGAGGCCUGGGCGGGAGCAGGAGGCAGGACUGAGGCUUCCGCUGGGUGCAUGAGCUCAGUCGGGGGCAGGCCACACCUGAGGUCCAGACGGAAGACCACAGCCCCGGGAGUCAGGCACCAGCAGAGGCCUGCGUGGGAAAGGGAGCCUGCUCUGCCCUGAGGACAUGGGGGCUCUGGGAGGAGGAAGUGGAAAACGUCCUGAAGGAGCGGGCACUGGCCCAGCAGAGUCGGAGUCACCUUUCACGGACACACAGACCCUCUGCGGUGGAAGGGCAGGUGCUGUGAUUCCUACAGAUGCACAGAGCUCAAAGUUCAUGGCUCACCCAGGUGGAACCGGGAGGAAAAGAUGCGUUCAUGGAAGGAGCCCAGUCACCAGCCAAGCAGCUCACCGAAGGCCCAGGUCUCCCUCUGUCGUUUCCCACUAGAUACACACGGAUGAAGCCAGAUAGAUAACAGACAGGUAGAGGAUAGAUAGGC
This 525-nucleotide long non-coding RNA is filed under the name Cercocebus atys (sooty mangabey). Its description in RNAcentral is "lncRNA (ENSCATG00000045830.1)". The record is from RNAcentral. Lineage: Eukaryota; Metazoa; Chordata; Mammalia; Primates; Cercopithecidae.